Molecule: long non-coding RNA, 364 nt
Filed under: Mus spicilegus (steppe mouse)
Lineage: Eukaryota; Metazoa; Chordata; Mammalia; Rodentia; Muridae
Description: lncRNA (ENSMSIG00000020634.1)
Source: RNAcentral
AACGCUGGGUUGAUGGCGGGGAGUGACGUUUAGCUGCCGCGCGCUUGCUAGUCCGCGCGGAGGAUGCCGGGAUGGAGGCGCCGCUGCAGCGUGGAGACCGGGUUUUCCCCCCAGGGAAGGAGGCCUGCACACGUUUUAAAUAGUUACCUCCUCAUGGCCUGCAAGAACCGGAGCUGUCUGUCUUGCCCUCGCGGUUUUGAAUUUCAAUUCUGUAAUCCUGAAAUCUGCUGCACAUCUGUGUCAUUCACAUGCUGAAGAUGUCAAGAGAAGUCUGUCUCAGAUGAGCAUCAAGAUGUAUAGAAUUUCGGCUCUGCUUUCAAACUGGGAUGGAGAGAAUGCACAAAGGAAUGAAGAAAGUUGUGAA